This 851-nucleotide ribosomal RNA is filed under the name uncultured bacterium. RNAcentral describes it as "bacterial SSU rRNA". It matches the Rfam family "Bacterial small subunit ribosomal RNA", at positions 8 to 858 of the family's 1533-position model. The record is from RNAcentral.
AGAGUUUGAUCCUGGUUCAGGAUGAACGCUAGCGGCAGGCUUAACACAUGCAAGUCGAGGGGCAGCAUGUCCAGCAAUGGAUGAUGGCGACCGGCGGAAGGGUGCGUAACGCGUGAGCAACAUGCCCUAUACAGGGAGAUACACCAGGGAAACUUGGUCUAAUAUCCCAUAGCAUUCAUUGAAGGCAUCUUUAAUGAAUUAAAGCUUCGGUGGUAUAGGAUUGGCUCGCGUGACAUUAGCCAGAUGGUGAGGUAACGGCUCACCAUAGCAAUGAUGUCUAGGGGUUUUGAGAGGAAGGCCCCCCACACUGGGACUGAGACACGGCCCAGACUCCUACGGGAGGCAGCAGUGAGGAAUAUUGGACAAUGGAUGGAAAUCUGAUCCAGCCAUGCCGCGUGCAGGAAGACGGCCUUAUGGGUUGUAAACUGCUUUUAUACGGGAGCAAUAAGGGUUACGAGUAAUCCGAUGAGAGUACUGUAUGAAUAAGGAUCGGCUAACUCCGUGCCAGCAGCCGCGGUAAUACGGAGGAUCCGAGCGUUAUCCGGAAUUAUUGGGUUUAAAGGGUGCGUAGGCGGCCAUUUAAGUCAGCGGUGAAAUUUUGCAGCUUAACUGUAACAGUGCCGUUGAUACUGUUUGGCUAGGAUUUGGUUGUAGUGUGCGGAAUGUGUGGUGUAGCGGUGAAAUGCUUAGAUAUCACACAGAACACCGAUUGCGAAGGCAGCACACUAAGUCAUUAUUGACGCUGAGGCACGAAAGUGUGGGGAUCAAACAGGAUUAGAUACCCUGGUAGUCCACACUGUAAACGAUGAUAACUCGCUGUCGGCGAUACACAGUCGGUGCCAAGCGAAAGC